This 1130-nucleotide ribosomal RNA is filed under the name uncultured fungus. Its description in RNAcentral is "eukaryotic LSU rRNA". The stretch from base 497 to 1130 matches the Rfam family "Eukaryotic large subunit ribosomal RNA", at positions 1 to 649 of the family's 3401-position model. The record is from RNAcentral. Lineage: Eukaryota; Fungi.
AAGUCGUAACAAGGUUUCCGUAGGUGAACCUGCGGAAGGAUCAUUAUCAGGUGGAGCAGGCCUCGCGCUUGCACCUCCCUCCCUGUGCACAUCGUCAACCGUUGCUCGAGCCGGCGGCCUCCGGGCCCCGGCGAGAGAUCACAACCACUCUUUUCCAGAUCGUCUGAGUAAACAUACAAUAGAAUAAAACUUUCAACAACGGAUCUCUUGGUUCCGGCAUCGAUGAAGAACGCAGCGAAAUGCGAUAACUAGUGUGAAUUGCAGAUUUACGUGAAUCAUCGAGUCUUUGAACGCACAUUGCGCUCCUUGGUCUUCCAGGGAGCAUGUCUAUCCGAGCGUCGUUGCAACUCUCAAGCCUGGCUUGGUCCUGGAGUGCGUCCCGUCCGCGGGGCCCCUCCCAAACGCAACUCACGUCGUGCCAUCUCGGUCGGAGCGCAGCAGAUUUGCAGCCCCGUCCGGCGUCGUCGCGAGCCGCCCCCGUGCGGAUUCUCAAGGUUGACCUCGGAUUAGAUAAGGAUACCCGCUGAACUUAAGCAUAUCAAUAAGCGGAGGAAAAGAAACCAACAGGGAUUGCCUCAGUAACGGCGAGUGAAGCAGCAACAGCUCAAAUUUGAAAUCUGGCGCCCCUGGGCGUCCGAGUUGUAAUUUGCAGAGGAUGCUUCGGUACCGGCGCUGCUCCAGGUUCUUUGGAACAGGACGCCACAGAGGGUGAGAGCCCCGUCUCUGGGCGGCAGUCGGUACCAUGUGAAGCGCCUUCGACGAGUCGAGUUGUUUGGGAAUGCAGCUCAAAAUGGGAGGUAAAUUUCUUCCAAGGCUAAAUACAGGCCGGAGACCGAUAGCGCACAAGUAGAGUGAUCGAAAGAUGAAAAGUACUUUGGAAAGAGAGUCAAACAGCGCGUGAAAUUGUUGAAAGGGAAGCGCUUGCAGUCAGACUUGGCCGCCCGGUUCGGCGGGGUCUCGCACCCCGUCUACGCCGUGGCGAUCAGGCCAGCAUCGGUUCGGACGACCGGAUAAAGGCCGCGGGAACGUAGCUCCCCUCGGGGAGUGUUAUAGCCCACGGCACAAUACGGCCCGUCCGGACCGAGGAACGCGCUUCGGCUCGGAUGCUGGCGUAAUGGCUGCAAGCGGCC